GAGUGCUCCAAGACUUACUGCGGAUGCCAGUGCUUUCAAGUGUUUUGAUGAAGCUUGCACACCACACCAUUUCAACCGUGGUGCGAAAGCUUGGCAAACAAGCGGAGAGGAAACGUAAUAGCAAACUUUCGGUGCGCUGCAUUCAUCAUACUCCUCAGCGGCUUCCUCUUCGGUGAAUCUUUGCUAUCCUAGCCGAAAUAUACGGCAAAGUAUACUUUCGUUACAUGAUCGUCUGUAUCUACGAGAAGGGGCCAGGCUGCCGACAGAAGAACAUAGCGGAAAGGUUUCCUAAAACGUGCCGUAUUCACAAUGCAUUGCAGAGUUUGCACCACUGUAUACAAAAGGACAAAAUCUGCAGCGAAUGCGUGCAGCUGCAAUGCAUAAGACACGCUAUGGCGUCUACUACCUCGAUCUUACUUAUGAUGUCUUACAAUCUAGAAAUUUAUUUCGACAGUGUGUCAGUUGCAUAUGCUUGAUUAAUGCACACUUUGCAGUUGCACGCUUGUGUUUUCCACAUGGCUCUUGAUCAGUCAAAUGUAAUAAAGGCUUAUUUUGCCAUUCGUAA
Long non-coding RNA from Rhipicephalus microplus (southern cattle tick), 565 nucleotides. RefSeq lists it as uncharacterized. The record is from RefSeq and is a predicted model, not a curated record. Lineage: Eukaryota; Metazoa; Arthropoda; Arachnida; Ixodida; Ixodidae.